Molecule: ribosomal RNA, 492 nt
Filed under: uncultured bacterium
Lineage: Bacteria
Description: partial 16S ribosomal RNA
Rfam family: Bacterial small subunit ribosomal RNA
Source: RNAcentral
AGUGAACGCUGGCGGUAGGCCUAACACAUGCAAGUCGAACGGCAGCACAGUAAGAGCUUGCUCUUACGGGUGGCGAGUGGCGGACGGGUGAGGAAUACAUCGGAAUCUACUUUUUCGUGGGGGAUAACGUAGGGAAACUUACGCUAAUACCGCAUACGACCUACGGGUGAAAGCAGGGGACCUUCGGACCUUGCGCGAUUGAAUGAGCCGAUGUCGGAUUAGCUAGUUGGCGGGGUAAAGGCCCACCAAGGCGACGAUCCGUAGCUGGUCUGAGAGGAUGAUCAGCCACACUGGAACUGAGACACGGUCCAGACUCCUACGGGAGGCAGCAGUGGGGAAUAUUGGACAAUGGGCGCAAGCCUGAUCCAGCCAUACCGCGUGGGUGAAGAAGGCCUUCGGGUUGUAAAGCCCUUUUGUUGGGAAAGAAAAGCAGCAGGUUAAUACCCCGCUGUUCCGACGGUACCCAAAGAAUAAGCACCGGCUAACUUCGUG